Molecule: ribosomal RNA, 460 nt
Filed under: Streptococcus mutans
Lineage: Bacteria; Bacillati; Bacillota; Bacilli; Lactobacillales; Streptococcaceae
Description: bacterial SSU rRNA
Rfam family: Bacterial small subunit ribosomal RNA
Source: RNAcentral
GACGAACGCUGGCGGCGUGCCUAAUACAUGCAAGUGGGACGCAAGGAAACACACUGUGCUUGCACACCGUGUUUUCUUGAGUCGCGAACGGGUGAGUAACGCGUAGGUAACCUGCCUAUUAGCGGGGGAUAACUAUUGGAAACGAUAGCUAAUACCGCAUAAUAUUAAUUAUUGCAUGAUAAUUGAUUGAAAGAUGCAAGCGCAUCACUAGUAGAUGGACCUGCGUUGUAUUAGCUAGUUGGUAAGGUAAGAGCUUACCAAGGCGACGAUACAUAGCCGACCUGAGAGGGUGAUCGGCCACACUGGGACUGAGACACGGCCCAGACUCCUACGGGAGGCAGCAGUAGGGAAUCUUCGGCAAUGGACGAAAGUCUGACCGAGCAACGCCGCGUGAGUGAAGAAGGUUUUCGGAUCGUAAAGCUCUGUUGUAAGUCAAGAACGUGUGUGAGAGUGGAAAGUU